This 253-nucleotide ribosomal RNA is filed under the name uncultured bacterium. Its description in RNAcentral is "partial 16S ribosomal RNA". It matches the Rfam family "Bacterial small subunit ribosomal RNA", at positions 524 to 776 of the family's 1533-position model. The record is from RNAcentral.
UACGGAGGGAGCUAGCGUUGUUCGGAAAUACUGGGCGUAAAGCGCGUGUAGGCGGCUUUGCAAGUCGGGUGUGAAAGCCCUCAGCUCAACUGAGGAAGUGCGCCCGAAACUGCAGAGCUUGAGUGCCGGAGAGGGUGGCGGAAUUCCCCAAGUAGAGGUGAAAUUCGUAGAUAUGGGGAGGAACACCGGUGGCGAAGGCGGUCGACUGGCCCGUAACUGACGCUCAGGCACGAAAGCGUGGGUAGCGAACAGG